ACUCCUACGGGAGGCAGCAGUGGGGAAUAUUGCACAAUGGGCGCAAGCCUGAUGCAGCCAUGCCGCGUGUGUGAAGAAGGCCUUCGGGUUGUAAAGCACUUUCAGUUGUGAGGAAAGGUUAGUCGCUAAUAUCGGCUAGCUGUGACGUUAGCAACAGAAGAAGCACCGGCUAACUCCGUGCCAGCAGCCGCGGUAAUACGGAGGGUGCGAGCGUUAAUCGGAAUUACUGGGCGUAAAGCGCGUGUAGGUGGCUUGUUAAGCCAGAUGUGAAAGCCCCGGGCUCAACCUGGGAACUGCAUUUGGAACUGGCAGGCUAGAGUCUUGUAGAGGGGGGUAGAAUUUCAGGGUGUAGCGGUGAAAUGCGUAGAGAUCUGAAGGAAUACCAGUGGCGAAGGCGGCCCCCUGGAGCAAAGCCUGACAGCUCAGAUGCGAAAGCGUGGGGAGCAAACAGGAUUAGAUGA
Molecule: ribosomal RNA, 461 nt
Filed under: uncultured bacterium
Lineage: Bacteria
Description: bacterial SSU rRNA
Rfam family: Bacterial small subunit ribosomal RNA
Source: RNAcentral